AGAGUUUGAUCCUGGCUCAGGAUGAACGCUGGCGGCGUGCUUAACACAUGCAAGUCGAACGAUGAACCUGUGCUUGCACGGGGGAUUAGUGGCGAACGGGUGAGUAACACGUGAGUAACCUGCCCUUGACUUCGGGAUAAGCCUGGGAAACUGGGUCUAAUACUGGAUACGACCUCUCAUCGCAUGGUGUGGGGGUGGAAAGUUUUUGCGGUUUUAGAUGGACUCGCGGCCUAUCAGCUUGUUGGUGAGGUAAUGGCUCACCAAGGCGACGACGGGUAGCCGGCCUGAGAGGGUGACCGGCCACACUGGGACUGAGACACGGCCCAGACUCCUACGGGAGGCAGCAGUGGGGAAUAUUGCACAAUGGGCGAAAGCCUGAUGCAGCGACGCCGCGUGAGGGACGACGGCCUUCGGGUUGUAAACCUCUUUCAGUAGGGAACAAGGCAUCAUUUUUGUGGUGUUGAGGGUACUUGCAGAAGAAGCACCGGCUAACUACGUGCCAGCAGCCGCGGUAAUACGUAGGGUGCAAGCGUUAUCCGGAAUUAUUGGGCGUAAAGAGCUCGUAGGCGGUUUGUCGCGUCUGUCGUGAAAGUCCGGGGCUCAACUCCGGAUCUGCGGUGGGUACGGGCAGACUAGAGUGAUGUAGGGGAGACUGGAAUUCCUGGUGUAGCGGUGGAAUGCGCAGAUAUCAGGAGGAACNCCGAUGGCGAAGGCAGGUCUCUGGGCAUUAACUGACGCUGAGGAGCGAAAGCAUGGGGAGCGAACAGGAUUAGAUACCCUGGUAGUCC
RNAcentral lists this ribosomal RNA (788 nucleotides) under uncultured bacterium. RNAcentral describes it as "bacterial SSU rRNA". It matches the Rfam family "Bacterial small subunit ribosomal RNA", at positions 8 to 796 of the family's 1533-position model. The record is from RNAcentral.